Molecule: ribosomal RNA, 478 nt
Filed under: uncultured bacterium
Lineage: Bacteria
Description: partial 16S ribosomal RNA
Rfam family: Bacterial small subunit ribosomal RNA
Source: RNAcentral
GAUGAACGCUGGCGGCGUGCUUAACACAUGCAAGUCGAACGGGAAACCUUUUAUUGAAGCUUCGGCAGAUUUAGCUGGUUUCUAGUGGCGGACGGGUGAGUAACGCGUGGGUAACCUGCCCUAUACAGGGGGAUAACAACCAGAAAUGGUUGCUAAUACCGCAUAAGCGCACAGGGCCGCAUGGUCCGGUGUGAAAAACUCCGGUGGUAUAGGAUGGACCCGCGUUGGAUUAGCCAGUUGGCAGGGUAACGGCCUACCAACGCGACGAUCCAUAGCCGGCCUGAGAGGGUGAACGGCCACAUUGGGACUGAGACACGGCCCAGACUCCUACGGGAGGCAGCAGUGGGGAAUAUUGCACAAUGGGGGAAACCCUGAUGCAGCGACGCCGCGUGAAGGAAGAAGUAUCUCGGUAUGUAAACUUCUAUCAGAAGGGAAGAUAGUGACGGUACCUGACUAAGAAGCCCCGGCUAACUACGUG